Long non-coding RNA from Dicentrarchus labrax (European seabass), 701 nucleotides. RefSeq lists it as uncharacterized. The transcript is spliced from 3 exons. NCBI's taxonomy places the organism in Eukaryota, Metazoa, Chordata, Actinopteri, Moronidae. The record is from RefSeq and is a predicted model, not a curated record.
AAAAAAACAUUAGAAGAAAAAAAAAAAAAUCAGAAAGAGGGGUGGAGGCAUGGAAAUAGGGUGUGUCAACCUCUAUUUAAAAAGAUUUGUGUCCGUGCUCUCUUCUCAUAUCCCUUUUAUUCACCCUGUCGCUGUCUUUUUUUGGACAAUUUUGCCACGAUGUCAAACCUUAUGGAUGCGAUCGGAAUGAUCUACGCUAUCUUCCAUGAGCAUGCUGGACCAGAUAAAAAACUGAACAAGGCAGAAGUUGUUAAACUGGUCCGCAAAGAGCUUGGGAAAGGAGACUCUGGCAAAGCAGCGGAAAGUUUCUUCAAAACAAUGGAUGACGACAAGGAUGGUUUUGUCGAUUUCAAUGAGUUUACUACUUUUGUUGCAGCCUCAUGCAUCCUCCUGAACGAAUCACUGCGGUCAAGCCAGCCGUAACUUCGAUCUCCGUGGUCAAACCAGCCGCACGUAAAUUUCAAGUGUGCGAUUAUUCUCAGCAUUACGGUAAAUGCGAAGAAACAGUGCAUUCUCUUCGGGUUUUCAAAAUAAAGGUAUUAUGAAUAUUAAGGUGUAAUUCGAACCUACAUUUAAAAUAAAAUAUGUUGCAUUAAAGUUUUCCAUGCGCCCAUGAUGAAUAAAAAACACCUCGUAUCGAGUAUCUUUACUCUGCCAGUGUGGAUAAAUGUAAAAAUAAAAAUCCCAUAUUUAUGCCUCCA